RNAcentral lists this non-coding RNA (148 nucleotides) under Chlorocebus sabaeus (green monkey). Lineage: Eukaryota; Metazoa; Chordata; Mammalia; Primates; Cercopithecidae. The record is from Rfam by way of RNAcentral.
GCUGGGCGUGGUGGCGCACGCCUGUAAUCCCAGCUACUCGGGAGACUGAGGCAGGAGAAUCGCUUGAAUCCAGGAGGUGGAGGUUGCAGUGAGCCGAGAUCGCGCCACUGCACUCCAGCCUGGACAAUAUGGUGAGACUCUGUCUCAA